Camelus dromedarius (Arabian camel) is the source of this 789-nucleotide long non-coding RNA. RefSeq lists it as uncharacterized. The record is from RefSeq and is a predicted model, not a curated record. The transcript has 3 exons. NCBI's taxonomy places the organism in Eukaryota, Metazoa, Chordata, Mammalia, Artiodactyla, Camelidae.
CAUACUCUAACAUUAUAAGGAGUUACUCAUCGCUUCGUUAGGCAAGAGCAAAAGAUUGGACUCAACCCAGGGGCCAACGACUAAGUAACUGAUUAAACAAAUUACAGCUCCUCCAGAUGAUGGAACACUAUUCAGCUAUUAUUUUUAAAAAUGAAGGAGCUCUGUAUGCACUUACAUGGGAAGAAAGAGACUGAAAGCAUGAACAAAAAGAACACGAGUGAUACAGGUGGAGUGGGGCUUCAGAAAGACGGCAGGGUUCUAGCAGCCAUGGAUAAUCGGAUGACCAAGCUCUUAUGGGAAGAUGAUGUGUUCCCAAGGGGAUCCAUCUCCCAUGCUCUUCUUACAGUGUGACUGACAUCUUCUCCCUCAAGAGGUGAGAUCUAUGUCCCCUUUUCUUGGAUAUGGCUGGGGGAGAGGGAAUGCUCCAGCCAACAAAGUAUGGUGGAAAUGAUGCUACACUUUCUUCCAAGGCUGGGUCCUGGAACUACAGCUUCCACCUGUCUCUCAGUCUCACUCUUAGGAUGCCUGCCCUUAGCAACCAGCAACCACACUGCGAGAAAGCACAACCCAGCCCACAGAUAGAUGACAUGGAUAGGGCCCCGUGGAGUAGAACUGAGGCCUCAAGCCAACAGCCAGCAUCAAACUGCAGCCAAAUGAAUGAAGCUUCUGAUGAUUCCAGGGCUCAGGCUUUGAGCUGCCCCAGCUGAUGCAAAGUAGAGCAGCAAUGAGCUAUCCCCAACGAACUCUACCCAAAUUGCAGCUUCAUGUGCAAAAUAAAUGUGUCUUGUU